AUGUUCCCGCAGAGGCCGCCUGCCGCCCUGGUCGCCUGGCUGGCCGGGGGCUUACUGGCAGUGCUAGCUAAUCAGUGCCGCUUCGUGACGGGCCUGCGUGUGCGGCACGCACAGGAUAUCGCGCAGCUCUAUGGUCGCCUCCGCCUCUACUCGGAAAGCUUGCGCUGCGUCCUCCUCUGCCGCCUCUGGCUCCGGCUACACGGCCGCCCUGGCCAUGCUGCUGUCUUUAUGGCAGCGCACGCCAGCGUCUUCGUGUGGGAAGAGGAGAGGAUCCAAGAGGAGGAGUUGCAGAGAUCCAUGAAUGAUAUGAAAUGGUUGGAGGAAAUGUGAAAUAUGUUUCAGAGUUCUGGAAUCAGGUGCCAACCUCCAGAACCAAAAUCCCAAACAGAAGGGAAUGAAGAUUUGCAGGGCAAAGAGCAGCCAUGGGAAAUGGUGACGGAUAAGAAACACUUCAAGCUGUGGCAGCAUCCAAUUACAGGCACCCAGCUUUACCAGUACAGAGUUUUUGGAACUUACACAGAUGUGAUACCACGGCAGUUCUUCAAUGUUCAGCUAGACACAGAGUAUAGAAAAAAGUGGGAUGCCCUGGUGAUCAAGCUGGAGGUGAUUGAGAGGGAUGUGGUUAGUGGUUCUGAGGUUCUUCAUUGGGUAACCCAUUUUCCUUAUCCAGUGUAUUCACGGGAUUAUGUUUACGUUUGGCGGUAUAGUGUCGAUCGGGAAAACAACAGGAUGGUGUUGGUGUCAUGUGCUGUGGAGCACCUUAGUGUGCCAGAAUCACCGGAAUAGAUCAUGCGAGUCCCAAAUGGUUAUCCAUCCCCACAAGUCAUUUGAUGAGAAUGGCUUUGACUACUUGCUGACAUACAGUGACAAUCCUCAGACUGUGUUUCCUCCCUGUGUUAGUUGGAUGGUUUCCAGUGGCAUGCCAGACUUCCUGGAGAAGCUGCAUAUGGCCACUCUGAAAGCCAAGAACAUGGAGAUUAAAGGACUACAUCUCAGCUAAGCCUUUGGAAAUGAGUAGUGAAGCCAAGGCCUCUGCCCAACCCUCGGAGCUGAAGAAUGAGGGUGGUUGUAGCCCUGCUCAGAUUGAGUAUGCCUGAGGGGCUUUGGGAUAAGAAGGGAUAGGUUUCCAGCCCUGUCUCAAUCCCUUAUCACUCUGCUAUGGAAUGGGGACAAGCCACAUGUAUUAGAAGGCGUCUUCUGU
Otolemur garnettii (small-eared galago) is the source of this 1201-nucleotide RNA transcript. It is a transcript of the gene named stAR-related lipid transfer protein 7, mitochondrial pseudogene, with no coding region annotated. The record is from RefSeq and is a predicted model, not a curated record. Lineage: Eukaryota; Metazoa; Chordata; Mammalia; Primates; Galagidae. The transcript has a single exon.